This 335-nucleotide unclassified non-coding RNA is filed under the name soil metagenome. Its description in RNAcentral is "partial contains 5.8S ribosomal RNA, internal transcribed spacer 2, and large subunit ribosomal RNA". The stretch from base 1 to 120 matches the Rfam family "5.8S ribosomal RNA", at positions 35 to 154 of the family's 154-position model. The record is from RNAcentral.
GAUGAAGAACGUAGCGAAAUGCGAUAAGUAAUGUGAAUUGCAGAAUUCAGUGAAUCAUCGAAUCUUUGAACGCACAUUGCGCCCGCCAGUAUUCUGGCGGGCAUGCCUGUUCGAGCGUCAUUUCAACCAUCAAGCCCCCGGCUUGUGUUGGGGACCUGCGGCUGCCGCAGGCCCUGAAAACCAGUGGCGGGCUCGCUAGUCACUCCGAGCGUAGUAAUACAUCUCGCUCAGGGCGUGCUGCGGGUUCCGGCCGUUAAAAAGCCUUAUUUACCCAAGGUUGACCUCGGAUCAGGUAGGAAGACCCGCUGAAUUUAAGCAUAUCAAUAAGCGGAGGA